GACGAACGCUGGCGGCAUGCCUAAUACAUGCAAGUCGAGCGGACUUGAUGAGAAGCUUGCUUCUCUGAUGGUUAGCGGCGGACGGGUGAGUAACACGUAGGCAACCUGCCCUCAAGCUUGGGACAACUACCGGAAACGGUAGCUAAUACCGAAUACUUGCUUCUUUCGCCUGAAGGAAGCUGGAAAGACGGAGCAAUCUGUCACUUGAGGAUGGGCCUGCGGCGCAUUAGCUAGUUGGUGAGGUAACGGCUCACCAAGGCGACGAUGCGUAGCCGACCUGAGAGGGUGAUCGGCCACACUGGGACUGAGACACGGCCCAGACUCCUACGGGAGGCAGCAGUAGGGAAUCUUCCGCAAUGGGCGAAAGCCUGACGGAGCAAUGCCGCGUGAGUGAUGAAGGUUUUCGGAUCGUAAAGCUCUGUUGCCAGGGAAGAACGUCCUUGAGAGUAACUGCUCAAGGAGUGACGGUACCUGAGAAGAAAGCCCCGGCUAACUACGUGCC
Molecule: ribosomal RNA, 502 nt
Filed under: Paenibacillus xylanilyticus
Lineage: Bacteria; Bacillati; Bacillota; Bacilli; Caryophanales; Paenibacillaceae
Description: bacterial SSU rRNA
Rfam family: Bacterial small subunit ribosomal RNA
Source: RNAcentral